Molecule: ribosomal RNA, 497 nt
Filed under: uncultured bacterium
Lineage: Bacteria
Description: partial 16S ribosomal RNA
Rfam family: Bacterial small subunit ribosomal RNA
Source: RNAcentral
GACGAACGCUGGCGGCGUGCCUAAUACAUGCAAGUUGAGCGCUGAAGGUUGGUACUUGUACCGACUGGAUGAGCAGCGAACGGGUGAGUAACGCGUGGGGAAUCUGCUACUGAGCGGGGGACAAUAUUUGGAAACGAAUGCUAAUACUGCAUAAAAACUUUAAACACAAGUUUCAAGUUUGAAAGAUGCCAUUGCAUCACUCAAAGAUGAUCCCGCGUUGUAUUAGUUAGUUGGUGAGGUAAAGGCCCACCAAGGCGGAGAUACAUAGCCGACCUGAGAGGGUGGACGACCACAACGGGACUGGAGCACCGCCCAAGCCCCCACGGGGAGCAGCAAGAGGGGAACAUCGGCAAUUGACAGAAAUCUGGCCGAACAACGCCGCCGUGGUGAAAGAGGUUUUCGGGUCGUAAAACUCUUUUUGUAGGGAAGGACGUGGAGGAGGGUAAAAAGCUCAUCAAGUGACGGUAACUACCGAAUAAGGAACGGCUAACUACGUG